GACUUCAGUCAGCACAGUGUCUGGAGACCUUGUUGAUAUAAGACACAAUAUGGAAGUGAAGCCAUUAAAUCAAGCAGGGUCUGCAACUGUCAUACUGCUAUUUGAAAUGUUAUUGAGACCAGUGAGGAGGAGGACAGAAUACUCCAGGAGUUUUGAAAUACAAUCAGAAUGAAAAAAUAUUGGAAAGAAAUCUGCUUCACAGCUGUAGGACUCUGCACUUGCCUUCAUUGAACCUCAUCUGGAUCCUCUCUGCUGAGCUCUCCAGCCUGUCCAGGUCUUGCUGAAUGGCAGCACAGCCUUCUGACAUCUGGAUGGGGUGCCACUUGAUGACAGGAGACACAACCAGAGAACUUACUCCAGCACGGUGACUAAAAUGGAAGGAGAUUCUACUGCAAUAUUCACUGGAAUGGCAGCACUGAAGAAAUCACUCCUGGAAAAAACAAGAAUUAUUACAUUACUCUCAGACAUCCUAGAAGGACUAAAGAUAUCAGUGAAACUAUCAGCACAGGUUAGGGAACAAAUACGGAAAGGCAGGAAAAGAGGGCUUUUAAUCAGGAAGAAAAUGCAUGUAGUAUUCUCCAAACUUAAAUCAGAAGUUUUGUACGUGAUGCAGGAUUUAGGUUCAGAUGAGCCUUUCCAAGUUAAUGGAGAUGCACAAAACUGAGUAAAAUAUGGAAAUAAAUCCUUGUAAAAGUCACCUCUAUGAAGCAAAUUAGAACUAUGCAACAGAUUUGUUACUUUCAACCUCCCAUAUAAAAACAAGAAGUCUUGUGCUUGACAUCCCCAACAUGUACCAUCAUGUCUCUGAUUGUACUAGUAAAGUCAGAUGAGUUCCAUCUUCAAUAAAUUGAUGGGAGGAUUGUAUUAUGAUAAAGCAGUUCAAAACUACCACAGAAAUAUUACGCCAAGCUGGAAAGAGAAUAUUGAAUAUUCUCACUGAAUAUUCAGUACCUUAUAUGCUAGCAGGACAGUUCAGGAACAGAGCAUUUAAUCUAUAGACUUAUUUCCCUUUUAAGGAAACCCCAAAAGAUCUAACAGUUAGCACGUAAACAAGAUUAUAAGCAAUGCAUUUGCUGGAGUUGGUUUGCACUUGUUGAAGAAAGCAGGGACACCCCUUAUAACUAAAUAACAAAGGUUUUGCUGGACAGAGAUGAAGUAAACAUGCAGUUUUGUAAAGUACUUAAAAGGGAGCUGGGAACAAAGUGAGGCCUCAUCCUCCAUUUUUAAUGUUUUUUGAAACACCUGCCAUUCAGUUAGCUCCUAAACCCCCAAAAUAAAGCAUCCCUUCAAAGCAUUUUCAUGGGCCCUAAGGCCAGGCAAUUGCUGAUCUGGAUGAGUCGAGAGCAUCUACUACAGAGGAAACAACAGCAGGAAGUGGGGAAUUCAUCUCAGAUUUCCUCUAACUUUACUGGUUGACUGUUAAUAGGGAAACCCCACCUACAUAUCUUAUAGGGUCAGAACCAUAACUGGAGGCUAUAGGGCAUACAGCUUCGCAAUCAUUCCAUUACAGUAAGAAUGUAUGUUUCCAGCUAAGUUCACAAACAAUGCUGAAUAGCUACUCAGAAGAAGAUUAACAGGACCUCCCACUUCAUGGAAACAGUGACUGUUUACAUAAUAUGUAAUGACAGUAAAUCAUAACAAAUCCUAGGAGAAAACUCCAGUGAGAGACAAAAUAACAAGACCAUCUGAUUUUAUUUCUUUUCCCAGUCUAACAAUCCACGUCCCUGUCCUGUAAGGAUUUCUUUAUAUACUUAGCUUUCAGCACAUCUGUAACGCCACAGACUUCAAUUAGUCUAAUUAAGUGCAAAAAGAAAAAGUGUGCACAUAAGGGCGUGACCUUUUUUCCCCCCUUUGUUUAUUCAGUGAUUAAUGGGGUAAAAUCCCUCUUGAUAGCUUGACUUCCCUUUCGCUUUGACACAAAUAACGCUAUACUUUCCACUUUGCAAGGUUAAGCAAUUAGCAUUCUAAAAACAGGGCUGAUAUAAAGUAGCACCACUAUUGAUCUCCAUUACUAUGCUGAGCUAGACCAGCUGAGGAUCUGACCCUGCCUAAAAUGGUAAUUUGUAGCGUGCAAAGGAGCUAAAACAUAUUUUUGCCAGAUAAAGAUGUGCAAAGGGACAACCAGCUCCUGAAACUCACCUGCCAUUUGAAAUUAGCUGCUAAAUAAUGCCCUGCUUCAGAAAUCCUCAUACAAUAAUUUGCUAUAUUAUAAUUCAACAUAGUUUUCUCAAGACCGACAGAUUGCACUUCUCCCCAGGGAACUCCUGCACUCUCUUUCUGUUUCUGAGUGUGCAAUGGGCAGACCCAUAGUUACACAACCAGAACUCAUUUCCUUAAACUGAACAAUUCUGGUGUAGAUUUUCUGAAAGGACACUCCCGUGAAAAAAUUAUCAAUUCCCUACUAAAGCAAAUGAGGGAAAAAGGAAAGGGGAAAAAACAGGAAAGGGAAAAAAGAUACAGAUGAUAAAAAAGAAAGAAAGAAAGAAAAAAGACAGUCUGUUCCUGAAGCUGUGCAGUAAAAGAAUGCCUGCAUCUACAGGACGAUGUGCCACUUUUAAGGGAAGGGAUUGCCUGUAGCCGAUGCGCGGUGCUAAAUGUCAGCCUGACAGUGGCUGCAGGAAUGCAAAUUCUUCACAUCAGUGCAAGAAGGAAGCAGCACGCAUCCUGGGAGUCGUCUGCAGCCUUCUAUUAGCCCCUCACAACGUGGUUAGAGCGUCCAACAUACUGCUUGGAGAGCGCUCCUGCAGUAUCUCCCCACUUUGGGUUGGAAGUGGGUUCUGGUUGCCUUUUUUCAUAUUACUAGCGAUUUAAGCAUCAAACAAGGAAACAAAAUUCAAAACAAAAUUCUCUCACGUGAACUCACUACAUACACUUCAGCGCUUGCCCAGCUCCCACUCAUACAGCAGCUAAAAGAUCUGGAGGAAAAGAACAGACCUUAAUGACCACGCGUCCCUGCGCUCUGGAGUGUGGGCUACAGCAACUAAUAACAGAUGAAGGUUUACAUGUUUUUCUUGUGUUUCUGCUGGGGUUGCUGUGUCAUUAAUUCAGCCUGUGCUUGACUACUUAUGUUAAACAUUCCCUUUGUGACUUUCUCUAAAUCUUAAAUUUUGCAUGUGACCACAUGUAAAUGUAAAUGUGUAUUUUUAUGGUCCUGUAAUCUCAGUGCUUUUAAAUCCCCGUUGCCUGAAGGCACACAGGGAGCUGAAGCAGAAAAGCUUGGUCAGUUUGUGAUCAUUUAAGCUAGUUUAUUUGCUCUUUCUGAGUAUAUUCAGCUCCUGUAGAGGUUUUUGCCUUUUGUGUAAUAGAGUACAGAUAAGAUCUAGGAACCUAAUUAACCCUGCAGGGCCUGUGAACAAGGCUCAUUAGAAAACAGUCAAACACAUUUAUAUUUGAAUACCUUAUUUACAGGAAUUCAUAUCAUAUUUCUGAACCGCAGAUAUACAUGCCACAUAAUCAUACCUUAACCACUGUAAAACAUUUCCUUAAAUUAAGCUGAAAAGUGCACCAAAUUUGAGCUCAAAGUCAUCUGGAUUAUACAUGUAAAUACCUCGUGCCUUAAUAAAUAAAUAAAUAAAAUAACUCUAAUAAAUGAAAGUUCUGUCUGCAGGACAUUCUAAGCUAUAAUGUCUCUUCACCCACAUCCCCUCCAAAAAAUCCACAUUUCACAAAAUCAGUACUCAUUGCAGCCUGAGCAGAAAACACCACUGUGAAACAAUUUCUCUGGGGAUUUCCCCCUCUGCCCAGGGCAGUGACA
Gallus gallus (chicken) is the source of this 3754-nucleotide long non-coding RNA. Lineage: Eukaryota; Metazoa; Chordata; Aves; Galliformes; Phasianidae. The record is from Ensembl.